AGGGCUGUAGCUCAGUGGUAGAGCAUCUGCUUUGCAUGCAAAGGUUCCAGGUUUAAUCUCUAGUAUCUCUG
This is a non-coding RNA of Podarcis lilfordi (Lilford's wall lizard), 71 nucleotides long. Lineage: Eukaryota; Metazoa; Chordata; Lepidosauria; Squamata; Lacertidae. The record is from the annotation of a GenBank genome assembly.